AGUUUAUGAAGCUUGUGCAGUGCAGCGAAACGCCAAACUUUUGCAGGCGUUUGCUUUUGUGAAUGGAAGUCAAUGGGACGAGAAGUGGUAUCGACUGGAGAAUCUCUUCUCCACCAAACGCUACACGAUGAUUAUAGAGGAGAGAAGAAAUACCCCCGAAUCAACGCUGCAAACGAGCGAUUAAGCGAUGCGGCUACUAACAUGAGAACACAAAGCCAUGUGCGGUGAGUGUCUACUAGAGGCCACAACUCACGAUUCGGGGAUUUGAUGGAAGAAGAAGAGUCAGCCGCUUCUGUCUUGUGGUGUUUGAACUCUCAGUCUGGCGGCACCCAUUCACUGCAGAGGAUCCAUUGGAGGGCAAGUGAUAUAAUGCUAAAUUUCUACAAAUCUGUUGUGUUGAAGAGACAAGCUCAUCUACAAUCUGGACAGCUUGCAAGAGUGCGGAAGAAUAUGGCCUGAUAUGGAUCACCUCAGAUUUAAUAUCUGUGGCGAUUUGUCAUCGGCAUCUUCAUUUUUCAGAAGCAAGUGCACCUCUUAGAUCAACAACGGUGUUGGGAGCACAGAUGAGCACUCCGCAUACACAGGAAACGGACUGGGCGCGUAUGCAUGCGAUGACAUCAUGACACCCGCACGUCACGCAACUAAACUUUAGUGACGACUUGAAUCCAUUUUUUUUUUUUU
Labeo rohita (rohu) is the source of this 681-nucleotide long non-coding RNA. RefSeq lists it as uncharacterized. The transcript has 4 exons. The record is from RefSeq and is a predicted model, not a curated record. NCBI's taxonomy places the organism in Eukaryota, Metazoa, Chordata, Actinopteri, Cypriniformes, Cyprinidae.